Molecule: ribosomal RNA, 459 nt
Filed under: uncultured bacterium
Lineage: Bacteria
Description: partial 16S ribosomal RNA
Rfam family: Bacterial small subunit ribosomal RNA
Source: RNAcentral
CCUACGGGUGGCAGCAGUGAGGAAUAUUGGUCAAUGGGCGCGAGCCUGAACCAGCCAAGUCGCGUGAGGGAAGACGGUCCUAUGGAUUGUAAACCUCUUUUGUCGGGGAGCAAAAGACGCCACGCGUGGCGUUCCGAGAGUACCCGAAGAAAAAGCAUCGGCAAACUCCGUGCCAGCAGCCGCGGUAAUACGGAGGAUGCGAGCGUUAUCCGGAUUUAUUGGGUUAAAAGGGUGCGCAGGCGGAGGAUCAAGUCAGCGGUAAAAUUGAGAGGCUCAACCUCUUCGAGCCGUUGAAACUGGUUUGCUUGAGUGAGCGAGAGGUAUGCGGAAUGCGUGGUGUAGCGGUGAAAUGCAUAGAUAUCACGCAGAACUCCGAUUGCGAAGGCAGCAUACCGGCGCUCAACUGACGCUCAUGCACGAAAGUGUGGGGAUCGAACAGGAUUAGAUACCCUGGUAGUC